RNAcentral lists this long non-coding RNA (271 nucleotides) under Triticum aestivum (bread wheat). RNAcentral's name for it is "long non-coding RNA (TAES_LNC008050)". Lineage: Eukaryota; Viridiplantae; Streptophyta; Magnoliopsida; Poales; Poaceae. The record is from RNAcentral.
AGAAAUUUAACCAGAACUGUUUGAUUUGAAAGAGAGAAAGAAACAACAGAGUCCUCUUAUCUGCAAGUUCUUUAGGUUUCAUUAACUCCUGAUGCAACAUACAGGUGGCACACCCUGGUAUUAUUAGCAAUCCAGCAAAAAUACAACGCACAUAGUCAGCAAGAUGGCCAGUAGAGAAGACAAAGUGGUUCUCUUUGAAUCGAACGUAUCAAGAGACAGAGUAAGAGUAUAUGCCAAUAUUAUUCCAUGAAACGAACAGUUUAACCAAUGA